AAAGAACUGCCGGGGUGUGAAUUCGCUUUCGUUAGGUGACCAGCGGACCUCGAGCUUAUUUAGCAGUAGCGCUAACCCCCGGUGGGGAACGCUGCUGAGUGCUGGCUGUCGUAUAUCGAACGGUCUGACCCGGGGACGGAAAUGCACGAGACUAACCGGCCCUGGACCCCCGGUUUUUGAAACCACAUACCUACAUAUAUAUAUAUAUAUAUACAAACCUACAUGCAUACGUACGUACAGAUCUCACCAUCCUCACCAAAUUCACUACGACUACUACGAUCACUGUCGUGAAUCAGCCCGCGUACGACAACUCAUUCCGAGGCCCAAGUUUGAUGGAGAAUGCUCAUCCCAACAAAAUGCAAACUGUAUCAGGAUGCCGCUAAUGCCGCACGGAAGCCCACCCCACCCCAAACCAACCCCAAUCCACUCCACCAGGCCACACUUCAAGACCGCAUCCCACCACGAGUUAUCGAGAAUGUCGAAUACGUGUAAAAGUAAAUCGAGCUUCUCAUAUCAGAACUCGGCGGUGCUACAGAACCCGCUAAUUUGAUUCCCUUUCCGUACCCAAUUGUACGGCGACAGCAGCCGUACACACAUGCAUUUUCAGAAGCACUUGGGCGCGUAACUAGGUUUGCGUCUGUCCAUUCAUGGUAUCGUGCUUGUGCAUGUGCCUACUGAUGGGUACGACUGCAGUACAUGCCUUGCGAUGAGGAUACCAACCACACAACAGAACAUCGUCAUCACCAUCAUUAUCAUCAUCAUCAACAUCAUCAUCACCACCACCAUUUUUUACGUUGCAUGAAUUAUGUGUCAUCUUCAUCCCCAUCCAUCAUCAUGCAACCCCCAACUCUCCAGCCAGGGAUGCGGUAUGAACACUAUCGCUGCGGGCGAAGAGAUCUGAUCCACGGCUGAGUGCCGUACCAAGAUCCGACAUGACGUCGCCGCCACCGGGAAUAGAGCCGCCGCCGCCACCUCCGCCAGCGUCUGUCGCCACGUCCGUCAGAAGACUGUCGCCCAGGGUAGACAAGUCAAUGCCGGCAUCCGUGUCAGCGCCGCUGCGUGGUGCCGCCGGCGGCGGCGGCGGCGGCGGCGGCCCCUCCGCCAGCUCUUCCGACAACGUGCUGGCGUCGCGUAUGCUGGAUAACAUCCUCAGCCUCCGGUUAAUGCUUGGUCCGCUGGACUCCGAAGUGAAAGAGGAGGAUGACGACGCUGCGUCAUCGUCAUCAUUGGCGGCGGCGCCUGUACGUUCGCGUGCCGGCGCUGCCACGGCCACUGCCGCCGCCGCCGCCGCCGCCACCGGAGAUUUCUGCGUUGUUAUCGAAGAUGUUACGGAGCUGCUGCGGCGGCCUGAUGAUGGCCCCCGGGUGAUCCGUGGGGAUGGCCCGUGACCGUCCGAAGACUGGGGCUUGGUCGGCGGCGCAGGAACCAGCAACGGCGGCGGCGCCGCGGCCGCCGCCGCCACCGCCGCCGCUGCUGUGGCUUCCGCCUCCUCGGUGGCUGCACGCGCGCGCUCCUCUUUCUCAGCCUCCUGCCCUCACGCAAUGUGUAUGGCCAUGCCGGACAGGGUGAGAUGGGGUGUGGUAGGGUGAGGGGAAGGGGAGAUAAGGAGGGGACAAACAUACAAACAAACACACAAACAGGUCCGAUAGGACUUAGAAAACGUUCAGAUCAUAAUAAAGCCUCAGUUGUUAAUCGUGCCUCAGCUGAAGCGUUGGAAAUAAUACGUAAAACAACAGAGUUCAUCUCAGAAAAGUUAAUAAUAAAUAAAGUAAGUUGAGAAAAUGGCCAAGUCUUAUGUAUUCUCGCCAGCUCUCAUCUGCCACACGCAGUCUCACAUCAUUAAAAUUACAUCCAUAAAUCCGUCGUACAACAAAUACCCAAGCACCAUCCAUCUCCCCCCCCCCUCAUUCCCCCCUUGGGAUCUCCCAGUACACGUAGAGUAUCCCACCUGGGCUGCUCGCUCAAGGGUCUGUCGUACAAGCUCCGCAUUGCGCUCCUGGGCUACGCGGCGUGCAUGGUACGGCACUGGUACGGGCUCCAAACGCUCGCUCAGGCGACUGGUAGCAUCCUGUACGUACGUAUGUAUUUGUACAUGUAUGUAAGUAUGUGUGAUAAUAUGUUUUUCAACAUGUACGUAAGUUGUUAGGCAUUUGGGUUAGGUAGGAAGAGACACAGACGCGACACAGAGUACGACUAUUACUAUUACUAAUAUUAAUUAUCAGUAUCAUUAUCAUCAUAUUCAUCGUCAUCACAAGUGAUAACAUCAUUGCCAUCUCAUUUAUCCCCCGGAAGAACCAACCAACCGACUAUGAUUCACCAACU
RNAcentral lists this long non-coding RNA (2322 nucleotides) under Volvox carteri. Its description in RNAcentral is "long non-coding RNA (VCAR_LNC001263)". Lineage: Eukaryota; Viridiplantae; Chlorophyta; Chlorophyceae; Chlamydomonadales; Volvocaceae. The record is from RNAcentral.